Molecule: ribosomal RNA, 1415 nt
Filed under: Microbacterium laevaniformans
Lineage: Bacteria; Bacillati; Actinomycetota; Actinomycetes; Micrococcales; Microbacteriaceae
Description: bacterial SSU rRNA
Rfam family: Bacterial small subunit ribosomal RNA
Source: RNAcentral
GAAGCUGGCAGGUGCUUACACAUGCAAGUCGAAUGGGGAAUUAGCUUGUGGGGUGGAUCAGGGGGGGACGGGGCAAACACGUGAGAAUCUGCCCCUGACUCUGGGAUAAGCGCUGGAAACGGCGUCUAAUACUUGAAAUGAACCGUGGAGGCAUUUUCAACGGUUGGAAAGAUUUUUUGGUCAGGGAUGAGCUCGCGGCCUAUCAGCUUGUUGGUGAGGUAAUGGCUCACCAAGGCGUCGACGGGUAGCCGGCCUGAGAGGGUGACCGGCCACACUGGGACUGAGACACGGCCCAGACUCCUACGGGAGGCAGCAGUGGGGAAUAUUGCACAAGGGCGCAAGCCUGAUGCAGCAACGCCGCGUGAGGGAUGACGGCCUUCGGGUUGUAAACCUCUUUUAGCAGGGAAGAAGCGAAAGUGACGGUUCCUGCAGAAAAAGCGCCGGCUAACUACGUGCCAGCAGCCGCGGUAAUACGUAGGGCGCAAGCGUUAUCCGGAAUUAUUGGGCGUAAAGAGCUCGUAGGCGGUUUGUCGCGUCUGCUGUGAAAUCCCGAGGCUCAACCUCGGGUCUGCAGUGGGUACGGGCAGACUAGAGUGCGGUAGGGGAGAUUGGAAUUCCUGGUGUAGCGGUGGAAUGCGCAGAUAUCAGGAGGAACACCGAUGGCGAAAGGCAGAUCUCUGGGCCGUAACUGACGCUGAGGAGCGAAAGGGUGGGGAGCAAACAGGCUUAGAUACCCUGGUAGUCCACCCCCGUAAACGUUGGGAACUAGUUGUGGGGUCCAUUCCACGGAUUCCGUGACGCAGCUAACGCAUUAAGUUCCCCCGCCUGGGGAGUACGGCCGCAAGGCUAAAACUCAAAGGAAUUGACGGGGACCCGCACAAGCGGCGGAGCAUGCGGAUUAAUUCGAUGCAACGCGAAGAACCUUACCAAGGCUUGACAUAUACGAGAACGCUGCAGAAAUGUAGAACUCUUUGGACACUCGUAAACAGGAGAGUGCAUGGUUGUCGUCAGCUCGUGUCGUGAGAUGUUGGGUUAAGUCCCGCAACGAGCGCAACCCUCGUUCUAUGUUGCCAGCACGUAAUGGUGGGUCUCUGGGAUACUGCCGGGGUCAACUCGGAGGAAGGUGGGGAUGACGUCAAAUCAUCAUGCCCCUUAUGUCUUGGGCUUCACGCAUGCUACAAUGGCCGGUACAAAGGGCUGCAAUACCGUAAGGUGGAGCGAAUCCCAAAAAGCCGGUCCCAGUUCGGAUUGAGGUCUGCAACUCGACCUCAUGAAGUCGGAGUCGCUUAUUAUCCCAGAUCAGCAACGCUGCGGUGAAUACGUUCCCGGGUCUUGUACACCCGCCCGCUUCCUAAAGUCGGUACCCCUACCAGCGCAUUUCCCUGAGAGGAGCCUCGAAGCUGAUCGGAAUAGCA